AGGGCUGGAAGAGGUGCGUUAUUCAGGUAGUUCAGUUGAGGAGAGCAAACUCCUAAGACUCUGAACGAGGGGAAUUAACGCCGAGAGAGUAUUGUUUUUGCUAACUCUAACUCUCGGGCGUCUGGGCUGAAUCCCAGCGACUGUCACCAAUUACUUAUUAUAAGUAAAUAUGUUUGGUGGAGAGCUUCUGGUCUU
Molecule: non-coding RNA, 195 nt
Filed under: Pseudoalteromonas sp.
Lineage: Bacteria; Pseudomonadati; Pseudomonadota; Gammaproteobacteria; Alteromonadales; Pseudoalteromonadaceae
Also listed under: 1 other name
Description: Lysine sequence
Rfam family: Lysine riboswitch aptamer
About the family: Riboswitches are metabolite binding domains within certain messenger RNAs that serve as precision sensors for their corresponding targets. Allosteric rearrangement of mRNA structure is mediated by ligand binding, and this results in modulation of gene expression.
Source: RNAcentral